GCACGGGUGAGUAACACGUGGGUAAUCUGCCCUGGAGUGGGGAAUAACACCGGGAAACCGGUGCUAAUACCGCAUACGAUCACGAUGUCUGCGGAUGUUGUGAUGAAAGGAGCAAUUCGCUCCAGGAGGAGCCCGCGGCUGAUUAGCUAGUUGGUGAGGUAACGGCUCACCAAGGCUACGAUCAGUAUCCGGUCUGAGAGGACGGUCGGACACACUGGAACUGAGACACGGUCCAGACUCCUACGGGAGGCAGUCGUGGGGAAUUUUUGGCAAUGGGGGAAACCCUGACCAAGCAA
This 296-nucleotide ribosomal RNA is filed under the name uncultured bacterium. Its description in RNAcentral is "partial 16S ribosomal RNA". It matches the Rfam family "Bacterial small subunit ribosomal RNA", at positions 100 to 394 of the family's 1533-position model. The record is from RNAcentral.